This 454-nucleotide ribosomal RNA is filed under the name uncultured organism. RNAcentral describes it as "partial 16S ribosomal RNA". It matches the Rfam family "Bacterial small subunit ribosomal RNA", at positions 331 to 801 of the family's 1533-position model. The record is from RNAcentral.
GUACACUCCUGCGGGAGGCAGCAGUGGGGAAUAUUGGACAAUGGGCGAAAGCCUGAUCCAGCAAUGCCGCGUGAGUGAUGAAGGCCUUAGGGUUGUAAAGCUCUUUUACCCGGGAUGAUAAUGACAGUACCGGGAGAAUAAGCCCCGGCUAACUCCGUGCCAGCAGCCGCGGUAAUACGGAGGGGGCUAGCGUUGUUCGGAAUUACUGGGCGUAAAGCGCGCGUAGGCGGCUUUGUAAGUUAGAGGUGAAAGCCCGGAGCUCAACUUCGGAAUUGCCUUUAAGACUGCAUCGCUAGAAUCGUGGAGAGGUGAGUGGAAUUCCGAGUGUAGAGGUGAAAUUCGUAGAUAUUCGGAAGAACACCAGUGGCGAAGGCGACUCACUGGACACGUAUUGACGCUGAGGUGCGAAAGCGUGGGGAGCAAACAGGAUUAGAAACCCCGGUAGUCCCAUGAU